GGCCAACCACAAUUUGCACUUCCUUCUCUAUUCUGGUGUCACUCUAACCCUAAAAUUUUUAGCUCCUCUACUCCUUUCUCUCUACCACUGCAUCUCACCUUUCCCCAUGUGCUCUCAUCUUUUAUUUUUCCUUUCUUUUCUCCCUAAGUGUCGCCGCUUGCCCCCACCAUCAUAGGGUCGUCGUCCUCUUUUCUUUCCCAUUCCCAUCGUCGCACAUUGCACCACCAUUAAGCGAUUGUUUUCUUUUCUUUUCUUCCUAAAAUUGCCUACUUUACACUGUCGAUCUCUUCUUAUUUCUUUUUAUCAUUGCCACAACUACCACAUUGGUAGACUGUUGUGUUUCUUCCUUCUUCUUUUUUUCUUGUUUUUGCUUACCACACCUUUGAACCAUCAAACUUCUUGAUUAUUACCUUGUUGCUGCUGCCUCUACUAAUAUUCGGGCUGCCGAUUUUCCUUCCCUCAUUGUAGGAUUCCUUAUUCACUCGAUACACUAUUCAUGAUUAGAUCCAUAGUCUUUAGCAACAAAUCGGUAAGUUAUACAUUUGUAUUGGUUAGACAUUAAUUCCUAGAAAUUUAAUUGAAUUGUUGUUCUUUCUUCUUUUCAGUUUAAUCGAUUACAUUUAGAUCUAACCAAAACUUUGUCAAUUGGUUCUAACAUUAAGUGGUUUUGUGUGAACGAUGUUAAAGGGCCAAAUCUGGGAGAGGCAGAUCAGAUUUGAACUUGAGGAGUGUCGAACAAACUAGUAGCGAAGGUGUGUGUUUUGACUAAUGUUGUCGUGUGUGUGUGUCAACAUUCGGCCGAAUGUAUACGUGCUUCCCUUGUGAUUUUUGGUUGUUAAUGUCAUAUCUUGAUGAUGAUUAAAUGUUUCUAAUGGCUUCGAUUUUUCUAAGUAACCCUAGAUCUGAUCUAAAAAUAAACUUUGAUCUGGUAUUGAAAAAUCAUCGAUUCAAUUCAGUGGGUAAUGAAACUGUGUACGGAAGAUCUAAUUUUUGUAUGCUACCAUUUUUCUGAAUUGUUAUGUUGAUCAUGUAUGUGAUGUCAAAUUUGUGUUUAAUCUACCAUUGCUACUGAUGCAUGUUUACUGCUACUGUUAAAAUUACAAAUCAUUACUGAAUGCAUGAAAGUUGUAUGUCAAUACUGCUAUUGUUACUAUUUUUUGAUUUGUAAAAACAUGUCAUAAUAUUGCAUUGGGAUUGGGAUAUUGAAGGUGGAAAUACAGGCUCUAAAUGCCGGAUUGUUUCGCCGAUCAAAACUAUUAUUAUACUAGCAGUUCAUCCAAAAAAUAUUAUUUUGGCGUGUAGGGAUGGAUGAGUUAUGGGGGAACUCUUACUGUGAAGUGUGGCCGAUGCUUGGGUAUAGAGGUGCUCAUGGGCCGGGCCGGGCCCAGAAAAAUUUUGGCCCGGGUCCUAGGCUCGGGCCCGGCCCGAAAUAUGGGCUUAGAAUUUUGCCCAGGCCCGGCCCGGGAAAAAAUUCAUAAGCCCAGGCCCGGCCCGGCCCGUUUUUUAAAUAAAUACCAAAAAUUUAUUUUAAAAAUUAAAACAAAAAUUAAAAAAAUAUUUUAAAAUUAAAAAAAUUAAAAAGUAUUUUUA
This 1590-nucleotide long non-coding RNA is filed under the name Gossypium barbadense (sea-island cotton). RNAcentral's name for it is "long non-coding RNA (GBAR_LNC015253)". The record is from RNAcentral. Lineage: Eukaryota; Viridiplantae; Streptophyta; Magnoliopsida; Malvales; Malvaceae.